This 766-nucleotide ribosomal RNA is filed under the name fungal endophyte. RNAcentral describes it as "eukaryotic LSU rRNA". The stretch from base 524 to 766 matches the Rfam family "Eukaryotic large subunit ribosomal RNA", at positions 1 to 240 of the family's 3401-position model. The record is from RNAcentral. Lineage: Eukaryota; Fungi.
GGUGACCUGCGGAAGGNCAUUACAUUCAUCAGAUUUAUCUGGUAACGGGGGGUUGGAAAAGCUACAAGCUGUCUUUUAGGCGACUUGUAGGUGAGUACUCCUCUGUCUGCAUCCCUGACUUUUGCGUACCCAAGUUUCCUCGGCAGGCCUGCCUGCCGAUUGGACAAUUCUAUAACCUUUUUAAUUUUUAAUCAGCGUCUGAAUAAUUAUAAUAAUUACAACUUUCAACAACGGAUCUCUUGGUUCUGGCAUCGAUGAAGAACGCAGCGAAAUGCGAUAAGUAGUGUGAAUUGCAGAAUUCAGUGAAUCAUCGAAUCUUUGAACGCACAUUGCGCCCCUUGGUAUUCCAUGGGGCAUGCCUGUUCGAGCGUCAUUUGUACUCUCAAGCUAUGCUUGGUGUUGGGUGCUGUCUUUAAUCAAGACUCGCCUUAAAAUCAUUGGCAGCCGGUAUAUUGGUUUAAAGCGCAGCACAUUUUGCGUCUCAAAUUUCUAUAUCAGCCCCCAUAAAAUCUUUUUAACACUUUGACCUCGGAUCAGGUAGGGAUACCCGCUGAACUUAAGCAUAUCAAUAAGCGGAGGAAAAGAAACCAACAGGGAUUGCCCUAGUAACGGCGAGUGAAGCGGCAACAGCUCAAAUUUGAAAUCUGGCUCUUUUAGGGUCCGAGUUGUAAUUUGCAGAGGGCGCUUUUGGCGUUGGCAGCGGUCCAAGUUCUUUGGAACAGGACGUCACAGAGGGUGAGAAUCCCGUACGUGGUCGCUAUCCUUC